RNAcentral lists this ribosomal RNA (253 nucleotides) under uncultured bacterium. Its description in RNAcentral is "partial 16S ribosomal RNA". It matches the Rfam family "Bacterial small subunit ribosomal RNA", at positions 524 to 776 of the family's 1533-position model. The record is from RNAcentral.
AACGUAGGACACAAGCGUUAUCCGGAAUUACUGGGCGUAAAGCGCGUGCAGGCGGGUCACCAAGUCAUGUGUGAAAGCUCCUGGCUAAACUGGGAGAGGACAAAUGAGACUGGUGGUCUGGAGGGCGUCAGAGGAGUGUGGAAUUCCGCGUGUAGUGGUGAAAUGCGUAGAGAUGCGGAGGAACACCAGUGGCGAAGGCGGCACUCUGGGGCGCACCUGACGCUGAGGCGCGAAAGCAUGGGUAGCGAACGGG